Cheilinus undulatus (humphead wrasse) is the source of this 168-nucleotide long non-coding RNA. RefSeq lists it as uncharacterized. The record is from RefSeq and is a predicted model, not a curated record. The transcript has 3 exons. NCBI's taxonomy places the organism in Eukaryota, Metazoa, Chordata, Actinopteri, Labriformes, Labridae.
AUCACUCUUUACCCACUCUCACUCUCUUCACCAAGGACCCCUGCCCUCUGUGUGACGAUGCCAAAGAAGAGCUGGAACCGCUCAAACACCGGUUUGUGCUGCAGCAGGUGGACAUCACCCUCCCAGAGAACCAGGUGUGGUGGGAGCGCUACAGGUACGACAUCCCCG